Long non-coding RNA from Daphnia carinata, 953 nucleotides. RefSeq lists it as uncharacterized. NCBI's taxonomy places the organism in Eukaryota, Metazoa, Arthropoda, Branchiopoda, Diplostraca, Daphniidae. The record is from RefSeq and is a predicted model, not a curated record. The transcript has 2 exons.
GCGUGCGUUCCUGAAGCCUCUUGUUAUCAGCCGAUUCCAAAAACAUUAUUGAAUCGACUUCCACGAAUCCAAGAUAAAGAAGAUUAGAUACCAGAGCGUUGUCCUGCCACCGAAAGCUAUCGGACUUCUGGAAAGGGUCACGACAAAGAUAUUGCUACCAAACGUCAACAGGGCAAUCUGCCCUUUAAUUUAAUAUUCCUCAAGAUGAAAGUUAGCACUGCCAAAAAAAUUUCAUAAACAUAGACGGACGUCAUCUGAACACCCAAUUCUUAUCGUUGCUAUGGUCUAACCCUUUGACAUUUGCUGACCAACUAACGGGACAACACAGAAGGUACGUGUCUCGAAAUACAUAAUAUUAAUUAACUCUCCUCGUCAUAGAAACAAAACAUGAACGUUAAUCAACGUUGCACUAAUAUCACCGAUAUUGAAAUUUAAAACAAUCACAGGAAUAAUAAUAGGUGACCCUUGAUUUGGUCAGGCUUCCAUCGUGUUUCGUUAUGACACGGUUUCCCACUAUCGACAGUCGUUCGAACGAUAUUUGCAUGGCGUAAUUGGUUGUAGGGACAUUUUUUUUUACUACCAACCCACUAUGGAGCAAGGACACGGUAACAAACAAAAAAUGCCAAAGUGAAAGGGGCUUAACCGAAACGUAUUUGUUAUUUUUUUUCGAAAGUCUGAAUGACUGAUGAUCGACAUACCGUAUAGAAAAGUAUUGAGUAAGAAAACAGUAUCGCAGUAAACCAUUACAUGAUGGAUUUCAUUCAACGAACGACGUAUGUCGUCUCCGUUAUUCUUGUUUUAAAUGCUAAAACCAGACCGCGUCUUUGUAUAUCUCGGUCGGCAUACGGUUUACAUUGGACAUAUUUUGUUCCAGUCGGACCAGAAUGCAACAAACAGCAUUCCGUCAAGUUUCGUGAUUGGAGACUGUUCUACUCUCUGUAACUAAACCAAAA